UAUGACUGGAUGUGUAAAGCGC
Molecule: microRNA, 22 nt
Filed under: Oreochromis niloticus (Nile tilapia)
Lineage: Eukaryota; Metazoa; Chordata; Actinopteri; Cichliformes; Cichlidae
Description: oni-miR-10597b
Source: miRBase by way of RNAcentral